UUCUAAAAUGGCAGAUUAGUGCAAUGAAUUUAAGAUUCAUAAAUAAAAUAAUUGAUAUUUUUUUUAGA
Molecule: transfer RNA, 68 nt
Filed under: Protapanteles sp. 2 SNS-2016
Lineage: Eukaryota; Metazoa; Arthropoda; Insecta; Hymenoptera; Braconidae
Description: tRNA-Leu
Source: RNAcentral